Long non-coding RNA from Poecilia latipinna (sailfin molly), 813 nucleotides. RefSeq lists it as uncharacterized. The record is from RefSeq and is a predicted model, not a curated record. The transcript has 2 exons. Lineage: Eukaryota; Metazoa; Chordata; Actinopteri; Cyprinodontiformes; Poeciliidae.
CUAAAAAGCUGUCAAAAAUUGAAAAAUAGCCAGUCAGAUCGAAAACGGGAGGGUCAUGCUUUUCUGAUUCUGAAUUUUAAAGAAAGACUUUUUGUCAGGUAACACCACUCUAAACCAGCCAGACACACUGUUGCUUCACUAUUUCGUCAACUUACUCAUGUUUUCUCACCAUAUUAUCAUUCUAAUUAUGGUCUUGACAUGUCGGGCGGGCUUCGCCAAACUACUGCAGAGAAUAAAGAAACUUCAGAUCUCGAGUACAUUUACAAACGUGAGCACUUGAAAGCUGAUCACAACCGACUGUAGAAUAUCAAGGGUGUGAAGAGAGGCAGGGAGCGUCUGCGGCUGCUGAGCCAUUGCUUGGUCACACACGUUGAAAUAAUUCCUCUCACUCUGAAAGGUUGUGGCACGAAGAAGAUCAUGUAUUGCUAGUUCAUCAGAUAAAGAAAUGUGCCCAAAAUACGUGGCUCAUGCAAGAUAAAAAGUGACCGAUCAUUUUUGUUUUGACAUUAUCAGGAAUCUGCACAAAUGUGCCUGCAACUUUCAGAUUAAAACAAAGUUUUGCCUGAUUAAAAAAAAGAUUAAAGCCGUUAUGUUAGGAACCUUUUUUUUUUUUUUUUAGAGUGGCAAUAAUGAACUGUGUUGUUUCUACAAGUUGUCAAGACAUAGUAGCAUUAGCCUAGGACAAGCUUACAAAAAGAAAAACAGAGUGCAUAGCGCUAAUGGAAGCUGCAGCUCCAUUUAUGACUUUUCCUGAGAUUCAGACAUAGUUAAAAAAAAAACAGAAUGACUACAGGAAGAGAGACAGAAAAAAAA